Molecule: long non-coding RNA, 294 nt
Organism: Pezoporus flaviventris
Lineage: Eukaryota; Metazoa; Chordata; Aves; Psittaciformes; Psittacidae
Exons: 3
Source: RefSeq, a predicted model, not a curated record
CUUGGGGUCAUCCUUGGCCUCUCUGCAGGCAAGACUGCAAGAUAUUUGGGUGCAUGAGGAACACAGGUUGGAAGAGAUGCGAAUGCUGCUCCCAGCAUCCACAGAGAUCAAAGGCAUGCUGGGUGGCAAAAAUACUUGUUUCCAGAGUUUCUGGUACGGUCAUUACUCCAUAGGGAGCUCUGGGCAUCUGCAAGCUGUGUACAAGGCAAACACACACCCUGGAGAUAUUUCAUGGAAAUCCCACUCACUGACUUUUUGGUUGUUUCUCCUCAAAUGCCUCAUUAAUAUAUUCUC